RNAcentral lists this transfer RNA (77 nucleotides) under Erysipelotrichaceae bacterium. RNAcentral's name for it is "tRNA-Pro". It matches the Rfam family "tRNA". From Rfam's summary of the family: Transfer RNA (tRNA) molecules are approximately 80 nucleotides in length. Lineage: Bacteria; Bacillati; Bacillota; Erysipelotrichia; Erysipelotrichales; Erysipelotrichaceae. The record is from RNAcentral.
CAGAACAUAGCUCAGCUUGGUAGAGCGCUCGGUUCGGGACCGAGAGGCCGAGAGUUCAAAUCUCUUUGUUCUGACCA